GGGGAUUUGAGAUCAGAAGCUGAAGAUCCAGAGGGAGAAAGAGAGGUGGAUAUCUGAAAACAAGAGAGGUGGCCAAGAAAAAGAGAGAGGGGUUGCCUUUUUGAGUUGGAGAAAACAAGAGAUCUGAGGGUGCUGUUUUUUUAGUCCUUUUCUGUAAGCAGAUUCAUAUUUGUGGGAAACUCCAGAAUUUAGAUGGAGUAGUUGCAUACCUGUAUUUUUUUUACUGCCUUGGAUCACUUGGACAACUCCAGAAAUUGUCUCUUUNNNNNNNNNNAAAACAACAGAUCUGAGGGUGCUGUUUUUUUAGUCCUUUUCUGUAAGCAGAUUUAUAUUUGUGGGAAACUCCAGAAUUUAGAUGGAGCAGUUGCAUACCUGUAAUUUUUUACUGCCUUGGAUCACUUGGACAACUCCAGAAAUUGUCUCUUUUCUUGAUGCUUUUCUGUUGGUAUUUGUUUCUUGCUGGUAUGUUCAUGCCAGUGGGCUUUUGUGGAGGGAGG
This 497-nucleotide long non-coding RNA is filed under the name Hordeum vulgare. Its description in RNAcentral is "long non-coding RNA (HVUL_LNC013899)". Lineage: Eukaryota; Viridiplantae; Streptophyta; Magnoliopsida; Poales; Poaceae. The record is from RNAcentral.